Molecule: ribosomal RNA, 436 nt
Filed under: uncultured bacterium
Lineage: Bacteria
Description: partial 16S ribosomal RNA
Rfam family: Bacterial small subunit ribosomal RNA
Source: RNAcentral
AACGAACGCUGGCGGCGUGCCUAACACAUGCAAGUCGAACGAAAAGCGUUGGGGUCUUGUGGCGCACGGGUGCGGAAGGGGUGGGGAGCGGAACGUAGGUUCGAAAUGACAUUUAGAAAUGAAUGCUAAUAGCGGAUGAUGACGUAAAGUCCAUAGGUUUAUCGCCUGGGUAUGAGGAUGGGUAAGAGUAGCUGGUUGGAGUGGUAAAGGCACACCAAGGCGACAAUCCUUAGCUGGGCUGAGAGGAUGAUCCGCCACACUGGGACUGAGACACGGCCCAGACUCCUCCGGGUGGCAGCAGUGGGGAAUAUUGGACGAUGGGCGCAAGCCUGAUCCAGCAAUGUCGCGUGGGUGAUGAAGGCGUUAGGGUUGGAAAGCUCGUUUACACGGGAUGAUAAUGACAGUACCGGGAGAAUAAGCCCCGGCUAACUCCGUG